GAUAGAACGCUAGCUACAGGCUUAACACAUGCAAGUCGAGGGGCAGCGGGAUUGAAGCUUGCUUCAAUUGCCGGCGACCGGCGCACGGGUGAGUAACGCGUAUCCAACCUUCCGCUUACUCGGGGAUAGCCUUUCGAAAGAAAGAUUAAUACCCGAUGGUAUCUUAAGCACGCAUGAGAUUAAGAUUAAAGAUUUAUCGGUAAGCGAUGGGGAUGCGUUCCAUUAGGCAGUUGGCGGGGUAACGGCCCACCAAACCUACGAUGGAUAGGGGUUCUGAGAGGAAGGUCCCCCACAUUGGAACUGAGACACGGUCCAA
Molecule: ribosomal RNA, 316 nt
Filed under: uncultured bacterium
Lineage: Bacteria
Description: bacterial SSU rRNA
Rfam family: Bacterial small subunit ribosomal RNA
Source: RNAcentral